GACGAACGCUGGCGGCGUGCUUAACACAUGCAAGUCGAGCGGUAAGGCCCUUUCGGGGGUACACGAGCGGCGAACGGGUGAGUAACACGUGGGUGACCUGCCCUCAGCUCUGGGAUAAGCCUGGGAAACUGGGUCUAAUACCGGAUAUGACUUCGCAUCGCAUGGUGUGGGGUGGAAAGUUUUUCGGCUGGGGAUGGGCCCGCGGCCUAUCAGCUUGUUGGUGGGGUGAUGGCCUACCAAGGCGACGACGGGUAGCCGGCCUGAGAGGGCGACCGGCCACACUGGACUGAGACACGGCCCAGACUCCUACGGGAGGCAGCAGUGGGGAAUAUUGCGCAAUGGGCGGAAGCCUGACGCAGCGACGCCGCGUGGGGAUGACGGCC
RNAcentral lists this ribosomal RNA (383 nucleotides) under uncultured bacterium. Its description in RNAcentral is "bacterial SSU rRNA". It matches the Rfam family "Bacterial small subunit ribosomal RNA", at positions 28 to 416 of the family's 1533-position model. The record is from RNAcentral.